GACGAACGCUGGCGGCGUGCCUAAUACAUGCAAGUGGGACGCAAGGAAACACACUGUGCUUGCACACCGUGUUUUCUUGAGUCGCGAACGGGUGAGUAACGCGUAGGUAACCUGCCUAUUAGCGGGGGAUAACUAUUGGAAACGAUAGCUAAUACCGCAUAAUAUUAAUUAUUGCAUGAUAAUUGAUUGAAAGAUGCAAGCGCAUCACUAGUAGAUGGACCUGCGUUGUAUUAGCUAGUUGGUAAGGUAAGAGCUUACCAAGGCGACGAUACAUAGCUGACCUGAGAGGGUGAUCGGCCACACUGGGACUGAGACACGGCCCAGACUCCUACGGGAGGCAGCAGUAGGGAAUCUUCGGCAAUGGACGAAAGUCUGACCGAGCAACGCCGCGUGAGUGAAGAAGGUUUUCGGAUCGUAAAGCUCUGUUGUAAGUCAAGAACGUGUGUGAGAGUGGAAAGUUCACACAGUGACGGUAGCUUACCAGAAAGGGACGGCUAACUACGUGCCAGCAGCCGCGGUAAUACGUAGGUCCCGAGCGUUGUCCGGAUUUAUUGGGCGUAAAGGGAGCGCAGGCGGUCAGGAAAGUCUGGAGUAAAAGGCUAUGGCUCAACCGUAGUGUGCUCUGGAAACUGUCUGACUUGAGUGCAGAAGGGGAGAGUGGAAUUCCAUGUGUAGCGGUGAAAUGCGUAGAUAUAUGGAGGAACACCAGUGGCGAAAGCGGCUCUCUGGUCUGUCACUGACGCUGAGGCUCGAAAGCGUGGGUAGCGAACAGGAUUAGAUACCCUGGUAGUCCACGCCGUAAACGAUGAGUGCUAGGUGUUAGGCCCUUUCCGGGGCUUAGUGCCGGAGCUAACGCAAUAAGCACUCCGCCUGGGGAGUACGACCGCAAGGUUGAAACUCAGAGGAAUUGACGGGGGCCCGCACAAGCGGUGGAGCAUGUGGUUUAAUUCGAAGCAACGCGAAGAACCUUACCAGGUCUUGACAUCCCGAUGCUAUUCUUAGAGAUAGGAAGUUACUUCGGUACAUCGGAGACAGGUGGUGCAUGGUUGUCGUCAGCUCGUGUCGUGAGAUGUUGGGUUAAGUCCCGCAACGAGCGCAACCCUUAUUGUUAGUUGCCAUCAUUAAGUUGGGCACUCUAGCGAGACUGCCGGUAAUAAACCGGAGGAAGGUGGGGAUGACGUCAAAUCAUCAUGCCCCUUAUGACCUGGGCUACACACGUGCUACAAUGGUCGGUACAACGAGUUGCGAGCCGGUGACGGCAAGCUAAUCUCUGAAAGCCGAUCUCAGUUCGGAUUGGAGGCUGCAACUCGCCUCCAUGAAGUCGGAAUCGCUAGUAAUCGCGGAUCAGCACGCCGCGGUGAAUACGUUCCCGGGCCU
Molecule: ribosomal RNA, 1377 nt
Filed under: uncultured bacterium
Lineage: Bacteria
Description: bacterial SSU rRNA
Rfam family: Bacterial small subunit ribosomal RNA
Source: RNAcentral